GAUGAAGAACGUAGCGAAAUGCGAUACGUAAUGUGAAUUGCAGAUUUCAGUGAAUCAUCGAAUCUUUGAACGCACAUUGCGCCCCCUGGUAUUCCGGGGGGCAUGCCUGUCCGAGCGUCAUUGCUGCCCUCAAGCACGGCUUGUGUGUUGGGCCUCCGUCCUCCUCCCGGGGGACGGGCCCGAAAGGCAGCGGCGGCACCGCGUCCGGUCCUCGAGCGUAUGGGGCUUCGUCACCCGCUCUUGUAGGCCCGGCCGGCGCUUGCCGACACAUCAAUCUUUUUUCCAGGUUGACCUCGGAUCAGGUAGGGAUACCCGCUGAACUUAAGCAUAUCAAUAAGCGGAGGA
Molecule: unclassified non-coding RNA, 345 nt
Filed under: soil metagenome
Description: partial contains 5.8S ribosomal RNA, internal transcribed spacer 2, and large subunit ribosomal RNA
Rfam family: 5.8S ribosomal RNA (bases 1-120)
Source: RNAcentral